This 458-nucleotide ribosomal RNA is filed under the name uncultured Streptococcus sp. RNAcentral's name for it is "bacterial SSU rRNA". It matches the Rfam family "Bacterial small subunit ribosomal RNA", at positions 920 to 1382 of the family's 1533-position model. Lineage: Bacteria; Bacillati; Bacillota; Bacilli; Lactobacillales; Streptococcaceae. The record is from RNAcentral.
CCCGCACAAGCAGUGGAGUAUGUGGUUUAAUUCGAAGCAACGCGAAGAACCUUACCAGGGCUUGACAUCCCUUGAAGCAGCUAGAGAUAGCUGUGUCCUUCGGGACAAGGAGACAGGUGCUGCAUGGCUGUCGUCAGCUCGUGUCGUGAGAUGUUGGGUUAAGUCCCGCAACGAGCGCAACCCUCGCCUUUAGUUGCCAGCAUUCAGUUGGGCACUCUAGAGGGACUGCCGGUGUCAAACCGGAGGAAGGUGGGAUGACGUCAAAUCAUCAUGUCCCUUAUGACCUGGGCUACACACGUGCUACAAUGGUUGGUACAACGAGUUGCGAGUCGGUGACGGCGAGCUAAUCUCUUAAAGCCAAUCUCAGUUCGGAUUGUAGGCUGCAACUCGCCUACAUGAAGUCGGAAUCGCUAGUAAUCGCGGAUCAGCACGCCGCGGUGAAUACGUUCCCGGGCCUU